CCCUUAGAUGUCCUGGGCCGCACGCGCGUUACACUGAUGCAUUCAACGAGCUUAUAACCUUGGCCGAGAGGCCUGGGCAAUCUUGUUAACGUGCAUCGUGAUAGGGAUAGAUUAUUGAAAUUAUUAAUCUUGAACGAGGAAUUCCUAGUAAACGCAGAUCAUCAAUCUGCAUUGAUUACGUCCCUGCCCUUUGUACACACCGCCCGUCGCACCUACCGAUUGAAUGGUCCGGUGAACCCUCCGGAUCGGCCCGCGCCAACGCAAGUUGAGCAAAGGCCGAGAAGUUGGGUAAACCUUACCAUUUAGAGGAAGGUGAAGUCGUAACA
This 326-nucleotide ribosomal RNA is filed under the name uncultured eukaryote. RNAcentral describes it as "partial 18S ribosomal RNA". It matches the Rfam family "Eukaryotic small subunit ribosomal RNA", at positions 1470 to 1796 of the family's 1831-position model. The record is from RNAcentral.